RNAcentral lists this long non-coding RNA (772 nucleotides) under Mytilus galloprovincialis (Mediterranean mussel). Lineage: Eukaryota; Metazoa; Mollusca; Bivalvia; Mytilida; Mytilidae. The record is from RNAcentral.
GUAUGAUACAAAAUAAUAAUAAGUACAAAUCUAAAUUCAGAAUUAAUCAUCAGAUAAAGUAAAUAUAGACCAGGAUAAUACUUUCUGCAAUAUGACGAUUUAAUUUGGCAUUUAUUUUUGUGACUCUUGGAAAAGUGAAGGUCAGAAUUAAUAAACGAGAUUCUUAAAAUAUAGUAUGGAAAUGGGGAAUGUGUCAAAGAGUCAACAACUGGGCCAGUGAGUUAAAUAUACAACCUAAGGCUACCAAUAGGUAUAUUAUGUAGAAGAAUAUCUUAAUUAAAAUUAGAGUUUUUACAAUUGCAGCAUUUUUCACUUCAAUAUACAUUGUAUCAAUAUCAAAUCAGUGGAGGAUCCAAGGGGGGUGGGUCGGGGGGGUUGGAACCCCACCUUUUUUUUGGACGAUCAAUGCAUUUGAAUGGGAGCAUAUAGUUGGAACCCUCCUUUACUCUGGGUUGGGAACCCCCCCUUUUUUUAAAAUGGCUGGAUCCGCCCCUGCAAAUUUUACAGUAUCUAUAUUUAGCAAAGUCAAUAUUCUCUAUGUAUUCAGUAUUCAUUGAUAUAAAUUAUCUAAAGAAAGCUAAUUUUGGGAUGUAAAAAUAAAAAUAAAAAUAUCUGUUAACAUCAUAGAUUCAAUACAAAUAUUAAUCAUUAUAAUAUAGGAACAAUUGUCUUGUUUUUAUAGUUUUGUAAUGUUUAGAUACAUAAUAUCAUUUUUUUUUACAAAAUCAAACAAAUGCUAAAUAACCAAAUAAAAGAUAUUUAUCAAAGAAAA